RNAcentral lists this ribosomal RNA (301 nucleotides) under uncultured bacterium. RNAcentral describes it as "partial 16S ribosomal RNA". It matches the Rfam family "Bacterial small subunit ribosomal RNA", at positions 509 to 807 of the family's 1533-position model. The record is from RNAcentral.
CAGUCGCCGCGGGAAAACGUAGGUGGCAAGCGUUGUCCGGAAUUAUUGGGCGUAAAGGGCUCGCAGGCGGUUUCUUAAGUCUGAUGUGAAAGCCCCCGGCUCAACCGGGGAGGGUCAUUGGAAACUGGGAAACUUGGGUGCAGAAGAGGAGAGUGGAAUUCCACGUGUAGCGGUGAAAUGCGUAGAGAUGUGGAGGAACACCAGUGGCGAAGGCGACUCUCUGGUCUGUAACUGACGCUGAGGAGCGAAAGCGUGGGGAGCGAACAGGAUUAGAUACCCGCGUAGUCCCUGUCUCUUAUAC